This 322-nucleotide ribosomal RNA is filed under the name uncultured bacterium. RNAcentral describes it as "bacterial SSU rRNA". It matches the Rfam family "Bacterial small subunit ribosomal RNA", at positions 28 to 333 of the family's 1533-position model. The record is from RNAcentral.
GAUGAACGCUGGCGGCGUGCUUAACACAUGCAAGUCGAACGAAGCACUUUAUUUGAUUUCCUUCGGGACUGAAGAUUUUGUGACUGAGUGGCGGACGGGUGAGUAACGCGUGGGUAACCUGCCUCAUACAGGGGGAUAACAGCUGGAAACGGCUGCUAAUACCGCAUAAGCGCACAGUGCUGCAUGGCACAGUGUGAAAAACUCCGGUGGUAUGAGAUGGACCCGCGUCUGAUUAGCCAGUUGGCAGGGUAACGGCUACCAAAGCGACGAUCAGUAGCCGACCUGAGAGGGUGACCGGCACAUUGGGACUGAGACAGGCCCA